GAGUUUGAUCUUGGCUCAGGACGAACGCUGGCGGCGUGCUUAACACAUGCAAGUCGAACGGAGCACCCCAGAAGGAGUUUUCGGACAACGGAUGGGAAUGCUUAGUGGCGGACUGGUGAGUAACGCGUGAGGAACCUGCCUUCCAGAGGGGGACAACAGUUGGAAACGACUGCUAAUACCGCAUGACGCAUUGGUGUCGCAUGGCACUGAUGUCAAAGAUUUAUCGCUGGAAGAUGGCCUCGCGUCUGAUUAGCUAGUUGGUGAGGUAACGGCCCACCAAGGCGACGAUCAGUAGCCGGACUGAGAGGUUGGCCGGCCACAUUGGGACUGAGAUACGGCCCAGACUCCUACGGGAGGCAGCAGUGGGGAAUAUUGGGCAAUGGACGCAAGUCUGACCCAGCAACGCCGCGUGAAGGAAGAAGGCUUUCGGGUUGUAAACUUCUUUAAGGGGAGAGCAGAAGACGGUACCCUUGAAUAAGCCACGGCUAACUACGUGCCAGCAGCAGCCG
RNAcentral lists this ribosomal RNA (509 nucleotides) under uncultured microorganism. Its description in RNAcentral is "bacterial SSU rRNA". It matches the Rfam family "Bacterial small subunit ribosomal RNA", at positions 9 to 520 of the family's 1533-position model. The record is from RNAcentral.